AAUGUUUCAAUACAAUCGGCUAAUGCUGUGCUUAUUCGCUGAUUCAUUAGGAACUUAAUCGCUGUGAAGCUCAAUCUUCGAAUUCGAUUUCAAACAUCUGCAGGGCAGCAAAAAUUGUGCUAAAACUCACAAAUGCUAAUUGUUAUUGUUUUAAGAAUUUUGAAAUUUAAGCCAACAUUUUUUCAAAAUAAAUAAACAAGCAACGCAGCACCGACCAGCUCAAUGACAAACAAAGUCAUCGUAGUGUUGGUUUAAAACAAUCUGGUUUUUUAUUAAAAAAGCAGCCAACAAAACCGGUUGUAAAAUAUGUAUGUAUGUGCAUGCACGUACGUACAACUGUCUUGUGAAUAUUCGAAUGAUUUCAUCGGUAGAAUAAAAGUGCACAAAGAAAGCACAACAGUUUCAAUCGUAACAAGAUGAAAAAAGUCUUAAUUUCUACAAAAAACCAGACACAGUCAUCUACAUAAACACGCAACACAGAACGUCAGUUGUUUAUCAAUUUGAAGAAAGCGAAUUGAGAUCGAUUCGGAGAAUGUACCAACUGACGCGUGAUUGAACUGCCAGCCCUUCACCCCAAACGUACGUGUUGUUACACACUGAAAACUUGGAGACAUCACGAAGGCAACAGACGCUCCCUUUAUAACAGCUGAGCGAAUACCUCAGAUGAGGCGUAACUCUCAAGAAUAGAUGAAUGUCUCAUUCCCUUCGAUGCUACAAUCAGCGAUCUGAAUCUAUAAAUCAUAAGUGUAAUUCUUGGUCAUGGCAAUUUGUGCAUUGUAAAUUUCUAUUGACCGGCAUUUUUCAUAUCCCGAAAAAUAUUUUUUGAUUCUGGGAAAUACCUGGCUUAGAGACAUACACUCUGCUUGUAUCAGCAUGUCAUAUACAUAUAUUUGUGGGAUGGAAGGACACAAAACAGGAAAACCUUACCACACGAAGGCGAAAGAUUUCCGUCCUUUAGUCAGUUGUUGUUGUCGUAGCCACAUUUUCAAAUGAGGGUGGCGAUCCUCGUGAAGCUCCUGUAUGUUUGCAAGCUGAUUCCGAUCCAAUGCACCGAUCGCUGCGGGAACAAGAAGGCCAUUGAUUAUUUAAAGGCGCCAAUAAUUCGCCUUGUCAUAUCGAGCAUCAUUGGCUCCAAGUAUUUGCGCAUGGGCCGGUGCCUUUCGACCUCUCACGGAGACUCUAUGCUCGAUACCGCUGAUUGUCCGCAACUGCCGUUGCACUAUCCGCAAUCUGUGGACGCGCCCGGUAGCUCGCAGCUAAGCUUCUGGUGACAGCAAUGAACACCACACAAAUCGGACCUCAAUGUUCCAGCCUGUGUGGUGCUCAAUACUAUCGUAAGAACGUUUUUUAAUAACUUAUUUACUAAAUAGCUAUUGCCUUAAGGGGAAAGUUUCCCAGCACCCUUACAGAUAUUCUUGAGGAAGCGCAACGUACGACGGUGAAAUGGGCUAUCGUAAGUGGUCUAGGCGUAAAUCUGUCUAAAGCAGAGUAUUCUGUUCAGCUUUCGGAAUUGUUGCGUAAAACUUUAACAAAAGAUCAUCAUAUUACAGUAGGAUUAAAUGUUUUUAAGCAUUAGUUUAAAAAAGAGAGCUUUCCAUUUACUGAAAGCGCAAAAUACUUGGGUGUUUUGCUGGACAGGAAGUUGAACUUCAAAUCAAAAAUUUUGAAAAGGCCAAGAAAGGCAAUCCUUGCCAUAUACACCUAUAAGUGGGCCAUUGGAAAAAGUUGAGAGUUUAGACCUAUAAUGAUAUAUGAUGUUGUUUUCUGGGGGACGGAGCUUAUGAGAACGACACCAUCUAAUGCUGCGACCACUGCUAAGAGGCUAAGGGAGCUUUUCCUCUGAUCAUGCGGUGCCAACGGACACUGUGUUAACCUUGAAUCAAUCAAUGCCCGAUAAUUCGGUCAGUGUAAAUUGCACAUUGCCUGUGUGACUUUUUGAUAAAAAGCACGGUUACACUAUUCCUAAUAGAACCGAUUGAAAUAACAAUACCUCUCGCAAUCCCAUGGCAGUCGGUUGUACGUACCAGAUUGACCCGAUGGAAUCCUUCAUCGGCAAGGGCUGCCGCCUCGCUGCUACAACAACAACAAUAUCCCUUGUAAUAGAAUUUACAUAGAUUUCUAAACGGAUGGUUCCAAACUAGACGACCUGGUGAGUUUGGGGUGUACUUUGAAGAAAUGAACUGGUCAUAUCGAGAAAGUUAUCCGACCACUGUAGUGUGUAUCGAGCGGAAAUCAUUGGAAUUAACGAAGACUUGAAGAGGUAUACCGCUUUGCUUUAGCUGUCUAGACUUCUACAGAAGCUAUGAAGAUGUCGAGUAAGAGGGGGCUUUAGAAAAUCAGCUGUGUGCUGUGUUCAUUUCUUUGAGAACUUGUAUGCAUUCGCAAGAUGUUGGGCUUAUUAAAGCGAUCUGAAUAGAUGGAGCCCACCGUGGCGCAGAAGAUAGCAUUUCCGUCUAUGACGCUGAAUGCCUGGGUUAAAAUCCUGGCGAGCACAUCAGAAAUGCAUCUUCCUUCACCAGUUCCUGUGGUAUUACAAUAGACUAAAACGUCUAGCUGAGUCUGACGGCAAGGUGUCACUUAAAUCUAACCUUACCUACAUACGUUUGAGUGUGAUAUGCGCUUGGAUAGAAAUAUUUUUAAUUUGGUCCGUCAGUAUUAGCGUCGCAUUUACACUUUUGUAUUUGAAGUCAAGAAUAGUGUUCGCUUUACAAAAAACAAGUAUGUGUAUGGCGGGAGGAAAGGUUUAAACGAUUAUAGCCCCCUCUACAAAAGCUGAUAACUGUGAAGUGCUUGAGUGCCAUUGCAUCUGAAUUCAUGAGAUAUUGAAAAUGGCACUACAAUAAAUUUCAAAUUACUCAAUUGUUCGAGUCUUUCAUUUUGUACAUAGUACACAUGUAAAAUAAUAGUUAAGCAGCAAAUUGUUGUUGCCACAAUUUACAAAACGACAACAACAACGAAAAGUAAAAAAAUACAAAUAUUUUUUUUUUUAAUUUUGCUAAAUAAAUAGACCUAAAAACGAAGAUAGCAAACCACUACAAAUUGUCUAAGAACAAAAAGUUCGAAGAGGUCUUUUAUAUUUCAAUAAUAUUUUCUACCAAAAAUUCACAGAGUAAUAGUUAUCAAAUCCUAUGGGCAGAUGCGGAUCGUGAAAAAACGAGGCUAUUACUGAAAGGAAGUAAGAAGGAGCAAUCUACAAUCCGCAACUUGUGGACACGUCCGGUAGCUGCCAGCUCAGCUUCUCGUAAUGACGAUAAACACCACACAAAUCGGACCUUAGAGUUCUAACCUGUGUGGUUCUCAUAGUCAUUGAUUUAAGACAAAAUUCUUCAAAAGGCAUGGCGCAACUCACUCAUACACCAGUAAGGAAAGGCAAAAGUCGGGCGAAGCCAACUAUAUAAUACCCUACACCACCGAGUCAACAUACAUACUACUUUCAAUAUAUGAAACCUAUACCGACUUUAAUUUUGAAAAGCAAAAUAGAACCUUUUAAGAUUUUUUUUCGAUAAGACUUAAAUUGUCGCUACUACAGCCUGGCCUGAUUUUCAUGAAAUUUUGCACAUCUCAUGCAAAAUUGUGUAAAGAUCAGACCAAAACUGUGGCUUUUACCGUCUUAAAAGGCCAUAUUGGCUGAAAGAUAUACAUGAUAGCUGUAUCUAAAUCUGACUCCACUGCAAUGAAAUUUUGCAAUCGUUUUGGAACCUUAAAUAAAACAUGUCUUGCAAAAUUGUUUAAAGAUUGGACCAAACUGGUAGGUUCUACAGCCUUAAAAGCCAUAUUAGCUGAAUGAUAUAUAUGGAAGCUAUAUCUAAAUCUGAUCCGAUUUUAUUGAAAUUUUCACAGGUAUUGAGACGUAAAAUAAAACAUCUCGUGUUAAAUUUUGUAAAGAUCGGACGGAAAUUGUGGCUUCUACAGCCAUAAUAGGUCAAAUCGGAUGAAAGAUCUAUAUCGGAGCUGUAUCCAAAUCUUAUCCGAUUCUGAUGAAAUAUUGCACACAUAUUGGGACGUAAAAAAAAACUUCAUGCCAAAUUUGGCAAAGAUCAUACCAAAAGCGUGGCUUCAUCAGCUUUAAAAGACAUUUCGAAUGAAAGAUAUAUAUGGCAACUAUAUCUAAAUCUGAUCCGAUUUUGAUGAAAUUUUGCACAUAUAUUAGGACGCACCACAAAAAGCACUUUAUGCCAAAUUUGGUAUCGGAUCGGACGUAAAUUGUGGCUUCUACAGCCUCAAUAGGUCAAAUCGGAUGAAAGAUAUAUAUAGGAGCUAUAUCAAAAUCUGAUCCGAUUUUGAUGAAGUUUUACACACGUGUUAAGAAUUCACACGGAACAUCUCAUGCUAAAUUUUGUAAGGAUCGGACCAAAAUUGUGGAUACUAAAGUCUUAAAAGGCCACAUCGGAUGAAAUAUAUAUCUAAAUCUGGACCGAUUUUUUUCAAAAUCAAUAGCGUUGGUUCUUGGACCAUAAAAGUGAAUUGUUCAAAAUUUUAUGAAAAUCGGACAACAAAUGCGACCUGCAACUUGAUUACAAGAAUACAUGGACAGACAGACGGACAUAGCUAAUUCGAAUCAGGAAGUGAUUUUGAACCGAUCGGUACACUUGUCGAUGGUUCUAGCUCAUUGCCUUCUUAGUGUUGCAAACAAAUGCACAAAGUUAUAUUACCCUGUAACGCAGUGGUGGUGUAGGGUAUAAAAAUAUGCCCAAUGAGCUUUACACACCAGCCCGUCUACGAAAACCAGAUUUACAAAUAGACUUUAAACCAGUCAAUCAGUGUCUACCCUAAUACAUAACCAAUAUAUGACUUUGUCAACACAUGCAAUGAAAGGUUUAGUUUCUGUAGUUGAAAAUGUUGGUAUUGACUUUCGAUUUCCCCACCAAAACAAAACGAAAAACAACUCAAACGCAAACGCAAUGGGAAAAUAUUAUACAACUAUAAGAUGCAAUGAUUGUCGUGAAUGAAAUGGCUGGACUUGAACAAGGCUAUGUUGCAUUUUCAUGAGGAAUACCCAAAUACAUACAUUUAAACUAUGGCGCAACCACAGCCACAGGUGUUGUAUGCACAGUUGUAGCAAGUUUUGUUUAAUAAAUGAAUAAUUUGUUUGCAUAUUUAGGAAAUUU
Molecule: long non-coding RNA, 5108 nt
Organism: Stomoxys calcitrans (stable fly)
Lineage: Eukaryota; Metazoa; Arthropoda; Insecta; Diptera; Muscidae
Exons: 3
Source: RefSeq, a predicted model, not a curated record